RNAcentral lists this small nucleolar RNA (218 nucleotides) under Amphiprion percula (orange clownfish). RNAcentral's name for it is "Small nucleolar RNA U3 (ENSAPEG00000005168.1)". It matches the Rfam family "Small nucleolar RNA U3". Rfam says of the family: Small nucleolar RNAs (snoRNAs) are involved in the processing and modification of rRNA in the nucleolus. There are two main classes of snoRNAs: the box C/D class, and the box H/ACA class. Lineage: Eukaryota; Metazoa; Chordata; Actinopteri; Pomacentridae. The record is from Rfam by way of RNAcentral.
AGGACUAUACUUUCAGGGAUCAUUUCUAUAGUUUCUGACUUGAGAAAUGUGUUUCUAGAGUGUAUGGUUUCGCCAACCACGAUGAUUAGUUGUGAUAUUCCCUUGUGAGCCAUGAAUCUGAUGGAGAACCUUGUUUAUUAUAUAUGUUCUCUGUCAUUGAUGAGUUGUUCUUUGCCUUUCUUGGGGAGCAAUGAAGAAGGGAAUAUUUUCAGAGUGGU